This 109-nucleotide non-coding RNA is filed under the name human gut metagenome. Its description in RNAcentral is "FMN riboswitch (RFN element)". It matches the Rfam family "FMN riboswitch aptamer (RFN element)". Rfam says of the family: The RFN element is a highly conserved domain that is found frequently in the 5'-untranslated regions of prokaryotic mRNAs that encode for flavin mononucleotide (FMN) biosynthesis and transport proteins. This element is a metabolite-dependent riboswitch that directly binds FMN in the absence of proteins. RNAcentral also lists the same sequence under 1 other name. The record is from RNAcentral.
AAUCUUCAGGGCGAGGUGUAAUUCCUCACCGGCGGUACAGCCCGCGAGCCUUUUUGGUUGAUUUGGUGAAAUUCCAAAGCCGACGGUUAAAGUCCGGAUGAAAGAAGAA